Long non-coding RNA from Oncorhynchus tshawytscha (Chinook salmon), 658 nucleotides. Lineage: Eukaryota; Metazoa; Chordata; Actinopteri; Salmoniformes; Salmonidae. The record is from Ensembl.
GGCAGAUGUUUGUGGGGGACAGGUGUCAGGAAGGUGUGUGUGGGGGACAGGUGUCAGGCAGAUGUAUGUGGGGGACAGGUGUCAGGCAAGUGUGUGUGUGGGGGACAGGUGUCAGGCAGGUGUGUGUGGGGGACAGGUGUCAGGCAAGUGUGUGUGUGAGGGAUAGGUGUUAGGCAGAUGUUUGUGGGGGACAGGUGUCAGGCAGGUGUGUGUGUGUGUGUGUUUGUGUGGAGGAUAGGUGUCAGGCAGGUGUGUGUGUGUUUGUGGGGGACAGGUGUCAGGCAGGUGUGUGUGUGGGACAUGUGUCAGGCAGAUGUGUGUGUGUGUGGGGGGACAGAUGUAUGGCAGUUGUGUGUGUGUGGGACAAGUGUCAGGCAGAUGUGUGUGUGGGGGGGACAGGUGUCAGGCAGGUGUGUGUGUGGGGGGACAGGUGUCAGGCAGGUGUGUGUUGAGGGACAGGUGUCAGGCAGGUGUGUGUGUGUGGGGGACAGGUGUCAGGCAGAUGUUUGUGGGGGACAGGUGUCAAGCAGGUGUGUAUGUGUGGGGGACAGGUUUCAUGCAGGUAGUGUGGGGGCCAGGUGUCAGUCAGGUGUGUGUGUGGGGGACAGGUGUCAGGCAGGUGUGAGUGUCAGUAACUAAUGAGGCCAUCAGCCAACCG